UUUCAGAUUCAGGGAAACUUUUUUAUUGACAUAAACUUCCAGUUUAUGUUAAGAUAAACUAAUAAAAAAA
Molecule: transfer RNA, 70 nt
Filed under: Fontinalis antipyretica var. gracilis
Lineage: Eukaryota; Viridiplantae; Streptophyta; Bryopsida; Hypnales; Fontinalaceae
Description: partial tRNA-Leu
Source: RNAcentral